This 233-nucleotide unclassified non-coding RNA is filed under the name Hevea brasiliensis (rubber tree). The record is from RNAcentral. Lineage: Eukaryota; Viridiplantae; Streptophyta; Magnoliopsida; Malpighiales; Euphorbiaceae.
GCAAACCCCGCCCUCCUAUGCUCCAUCAGGUGGUUAUAUGGGACCAAAUGCUCCCUCUUCAAUGUACUUGGGCGGGCCUCCAUAUGGUUCGUCUGUGUUUGGUGGCGCAGGUCCUUAUAGUCGACAACUGUCCGGAGGAUCCGGAUAUUAUGACUAUGGCAGCCGUCUUUCUGUUAACAGUCCUUAUGGUCAGUUGCACCUAUCUGGUCCCCCUCAUUAUUCGGGUGGAUCCA